CCUUGAUGAUGAUGAUUCCACUUCAUGGUCCGUGUUUCUGAAUGCGAUGACGUUGCGGAAGUUCUGACAUU
RNAcentral lists this small nucleolar RNA (71 nucleotides) under Cavia aperea (Brazilian guinea pig). RNAcentral describes it as "Small nucleolar RNA SNORD18 (ENSCAPG00000001930.1)". It matches the Rfam family "Small nucleolar RNA SNORD18". From Rfam's summary of the family: U18 is a member of the C/D class of snoRNA which contain the C (UGAUGA) and D (CUGA) box motifs. The record is from RNAcentral. Lineage: Eukaryota; Metazoa; Chordata; Mammalia; Rodentia; Caviidae.